UGAAGGACCAGCUGCCUCAGGGAAUGGCCUGUGCCAUCAUCCCUUCCGUCACAGCUCCAUGAGGGAGUAUCUGACUGAGGGAAGGGCCUGUGCCAUUGUCCCUCCCCUCACGGCUCCAUGAGGGGCUGCCUGCCUGAGGGAACCAUCUCCCCUUCCCUCCCGUUCCAGUGAAGGACUCCCUGCCCGAGGGAAUGUUGCACUCUUAAGCAAGAUGAAAAACGCUGUUGCCCUCGGCACACUGGCUGCAGGACACUGGGCUGCCACUCUCCUCCACUGCUGAUUCCCAGCAUUGCCUGCUUUAUUCCCAACGUUUUCUCCAGCAUCCUGGGUUUUCCUGGCAAGUGCCUCAUCCAAGUCAUGACCAAUCCUUGGACCCUGCUUCAUUCCCUCGUUUCACAAAGUGCUGCCCACGGUGACAGAACAGCAGGAAGCAGAAAAUGAAAUGGGGUACCUGCGAAAAUGAAGAUGGAACUUCACCUCUCCUCCGCAUGUAAAAUUUUUGGGGUCAGUUCUGUCCUCCUGGGUGGCAGGUACAAGAGCAAUGUGGUCCCUCACUCUGCCCCUGUGCUGGGUCAGUCCUGGGAUGAAGGGCUGGGCAAUCCCAGGGGCUGAGCCCUGACAUUUGGGGUGGGGAUGGGCUGAUGUGAGCGAGUGAGAGCACUGAGUUCUCAGGUGCCUUUGCUCUGGGUGAGACUCCCCUGAACCACACAGGGGGUU
Neopelma chrysocephalum (saffron-crested tyrant-manakin) is the source of this 717-nucleotide long non-coding RNA. RefSeq lists it as uncharacterized. The record is from RefSeq and is a predicted model, not a curated record. The transcript has 3 exons. NCBI's taxonomy places the organism in Eukaryota, Metazoa, Chordata, Aves, Passeriformes, Pipridae.